AAGCCUGGGAGCCCAGUGCUCCCUCUGCCCUGGGUCGGCGAUCAGGAGAUUUGGUGUGGUUUUAUUUUUUGACAGGUUUCUUCUUCAGUGAAGGCUGCAUUUAUUGGGUUUUCCUGUGUGCAGGAUCGCCUGUUGAUCUUCAUUUUGAAGUAGGUGAAAGUGUUCAGACGACUGCAAAACUGACCAUCAGGUGCAUGGAGACAGGGGAGACAAAACAGGAACAUCCCGGGUGUUGUGGAGCUCAUCAUUUGGUAGGAAUCAAACUGUGACACGAGUAUGGUGAAGGGAAGUUUCGCUGAGGCCGUGACAGUGGCCACCAGUGACUCUCCUACGACCAGGGCCAUGAACUUCAGCAGAAUGGAGCCAAGAGGCCUGAAGCCUGGGACCAGACCAGUGUUUUAUAUACAGCAGGCUCUCUGGAUGCCUAGCUGUCCUGGGUAGUCAGUGGCCAGUGUGACACACCUGGGAAGAGGGAACCUCAACUGAUAA
Nannospalax galili (Upper Galilee mountains blind mole rat) is the source of this 489-nucleotide long non-coding RNA. RefSeq lists it as uncharacterized. The transcript is spliced from 3 exons. Lineage: Eukaryota; Metazoa; Chordata; Mammalia; Rodentia; Spalacidae. The record is from RefSeq and is a predicted model, not a curated record.